Molecule: transfer RNA, 74 nt
Filed under: Flexibacter flexilis DSM 6793
Lineage: Bacteria; Pseudomonadati; Bacteroidota; Cytophagia; Cytophagales; Flexibacteraceae
Rfam family: tRNA
About the family: Transfer RNA (tRNA) molecules are approximately 80 nucleotides in length. Their secondary structure includes four short double-helical elements and three loops (D, anti-codon, and T loops). Further hydrogen bonds mediate the characteristic L-shaped molecular structure. tRNAs have two regions of fundamental functional importance: the anti-codon, which is responsible for specific mRNA codon recognition, and the 3' end, to which the tRNAs corresponding amino acid is attached (by aminoacyl-tRNA synthetases). tRNAs cope with the degeneracy of the genetic code in two manners: having more than one tRNA (with a specific anti-codon) for a particular amino acid; and 'wobble' base-pairing, i.e. permitting non-standard base-pairing at the 3rd anti-codon position.
Source: Rfam by way of RNAcentral
AACCGUAUAGCUUAAAAAGUAUGGCUUAGAGCGUACAGCAAUGUAAGAUGCAGGUUCGAUUCCUGCUACGGUUG